This is a long non-coding RNA of Brassica napus (rape), 2715 nucleotides long. RefSeq lists it as uncharacterized. The transcript is spliced from 2 exons. NCBI's taxonomy places the organism in Eukaryota, Viridiplantae, Streptophyta, Magnoliopsida, Brassicales, Brassicaceae. The record is from RefSeq and is a predicted model, not a curated record.
UAUUUUUUACCUUUUUAAUGAAAUUUAUUUUGGACAUUUUGACACUUGUGUGCUAUAUUUGUAAUAAAAAAAUUCUUAGGAAUACCACGGAAAAUUUUACAACAUCAAAUACUAAAGAAAAUUUUAUAUAUCUUUAUUAACUUUCUUUGUUCAACUAAAAUUUAAUUUUUGAAAUUCGUUAUUUUUGCUCUGGUGGUAGCAGUCCUGAUUCUUUACAUUUUGUUAAUAACAUUUAGAAAACACUUGCUUACCGAUGGAAUGCUAACUUUAGGUGCUGUAUUUUUUUAUUUUUUUUAUAAUUUAACUUUAGGUGAGAUUUUAAAUUUCAUUUUUUGGUUUUGUAUGGUGACCAUUUGCUAAGAGAACAAAGGCUGGUUUUUGGUAAUGAUAUAAAUCUUCACUUUAGAGUUGCAGCUGCUUUGGGCGUUUUGACCAAACUUAAAUGUAACACAUAGAGACAAACUGAGAUUUUUUCAAUUCAUGGUACCAAAAAAAAUAUGACCAAAAAAGUUUUUUUUUGUACGAAGCCAUUGAAGAUUUGCAAAGCCUAUUGAGUGAGUGAUCAAAGUCAUAACUGCAAGUAAAAUGAAUAUUUAUUUGAUAUUCGGAAAGUCAUCUAUUUAUGGAAAAAGUAUAUUUUAUUAAAAAUAAAAAGGAAGAAAAAUGCAAAGAGUAUUAGUAAUGGAAAGUCCUACUUUAUGCAGAAAUCUCCGUCACACUCUCCUCUCUCCAUUAGUACUUUGUUCUCUCUAUCAUCUCUACCAUUUUUAAUGUAUGUCUCCAUUUCCUUCACCGUCUUAAUUCUCCUCCUCUCCUCCGUCGCCGCCGCUUUCAUCCUCUUACCCUGCUGCAACGUGUCGGGCGGUUGGCUCUUCCGGGAAGUCUUGGACUUCAUCUCAUUGGCGAGACUCUGAUCUAGUCGGAGCUUCCAAGACGGAGGAUCCUGGGCCUUUCAUCAAGGAGAGAAUUUCCCGGAAUCGAUUUAAAUGACGCAUAUAUUUGGUGAACUGGCGAUUUGCUCAGUUGACCCAAAGUCGAAGCAGUUUCUUAUUCAAUACAAAGAGAAGCUUUUGGAUUGCUCUUAUAUUAUCUCCCUUCAAAUGAUUCGAUACCAUAAAAGGAAGGGCGUAUUGAAUGUGGCGUAGUGGAAAGAGUCGUUUAAUGGUACUGAUGAGAAUGUUACUUAUGUUGAUUGAAUGCAAGAGUAAACUGUUCAGAGGUAAUAGAUUGAACAUCAAUCGACACGACGAUGAAGAUCAAAAAAAAAACUCAGAUUAAAUUGAAACGGUGAGUUUCAUACUCCGUGGACACGUGUCGCGCUUACAAUAGCCGAUUUUCUGACGUGGAAUCCUAGGUGGCUUCACCAGGAGUGAUUCAAACAUUUUUUUAUAUAUAAAGAUAACUUAUAUAUUUGACUUUCCCUAUUUCCUUUAUUUUAUUUUCAUUUAUAGAUAUCAUUUUAAAACAACUUAAAUUUAUUAUUUUCUACUACUGGCAAUCAAUUACUAAUAAAUAAUAAAAUUAACUUAUUAAAAUAGCAAACAAUUCAGUUACUUUGUGUAUAAUAUUUUAGAGUAUUUAUUUAUGAUAUAGUGGCAUGUAAGGUACUGUAAUACAUAUGUAAAAUAAUAAUACAUUAUAUAUGUAUGUGUGUUUAACUAGUUUUGAUUUUAGAAUUUUAUAAUUUUGAUUAAUAAAAUUUGUAGAAUAUUUUUAAAAAUAUUAAAAUAAAUUUAUAAAUCUUUUUAUGAGUUGUAAUAAAUUACUAUAUAUAUUAUUUUAUUUUCAAAUUAUAAUUAAUAAUAUUUUAUUAACAAUUUUAAUAUCUAUUAAUAUUUUACAAAAAAUAAAAUAAAUGAUUUUAUUAAUAAUUUAAUAUUAUAAAAUAUAUUUAUUGUGUGCCCCCGUCAAAUACUUUUUCUGGAUCCGCCAUUGUACACUAGGGGCAUUGCCCCCGCGCAAGCGCGGAGUUGUGAACAUAGUUCUUGUUUCAUCUCAAUUUUUGUUAGGGUUAUUGUAGCUGUGAAUUUUAUGUUUUGGGUUAAUCAUUGUUUUUCAAGUUUUUUAUUGUUAUAUGGUUAAAGUUGUGAUGAUAACUGUGUCUGCACUGUUCUCCACUCAUGAAGGACUAAACUGUGUUAGUAAUGUGAUUGAUAUAGUUCGUGGUGUUAGUUGUUGUGUCAGUGAGACUUAUUGUUUGUUUGUCUUUUUAAUUUGUUACUUGUACUGUUGAGAUUACAUAAAUUAUAUUAAGGUUGUUGAGGGAAUCUUUUGUUUCUGGAUAUUUUUUUCCAGUUUAGUUGUGUAAGUUGUGUGUAUUAAGUAAUAUUUUUUUUUAUUCUUAUUAUGUUGGUUAUAUGUUUUUUUUUAUUUUUAAACUUGUUGUUUUUACCGGACCAUUAAACCAAAUGCAUGAAGACUUGUAUAAAUAAUUAUAAAAUGAGUGACAAUUAGUAUUUGGGUUUUAAUGGGUUUUAAACGAAUAUAUGUAUUUCUCAUAAGAAGACAAUAGCAUUGGCAUGUUGACAUUGAGUAUGUAAGCUUAUUUUCAUAAGACAAGAAGAGUGAGCAGGUGGAGAUGUUGUUGCCGCUUUUGUGUCUGUUGGGAUUGUCUCUUGUAUCUCAUAGUGUGGUUAUAUUUGUUUCUCUUUUAUUUGAUGGGUAAUAUGUAAACAAAAGUCAUUGUUAGUUGUAUUUAUCAGAGUUUGUAACUUA